GACGAACGCUGGCGGCGUGCCUAACACAUGCAAGUCGAACGGGACCAGGGGCAACUCUGGUUCAGUGGCGGACGGGUGCGUAACACGUGAGGAACAUGACCUUGGCGGGGAGUAGCCGGCCCAACGGCCGGGUAAUAACCGCGUACGACCACAUGGGGACGAUCCCUGAGUGGUGAAAGCAGCAAUGCGCCGAUGGAGUGCCUCGCGGCCUAUCAGCUAGUUGGUGAGGUAACGGCUCACCAAGGCGACGACGGGUAGCUGGUCUGAGAGGAUGGCCAGCCACAUUGGGACUGAGACA
RNAcentral lists this ribosomal RNA (298 nucleotides) under uncultured bacterium. RNAcentral describes it as "partial 16S ribosomal RNA". It matches the Rfam family "Bacterial small subunit ribosomal RNA", at positions 28 to 326 of the family's 1533-position model. The record is from RNAcentral.